This 128-nucleotide microRNA precursor is filed under the name Podarcis lilfordi (Lilford's wall lizard). Lineage: Eukaryota; Metazoa; Chordata; Lepidosauria; Squamata; Lacertidae. The record is from RNAcentral.
CUUCCAGUAGCACCUUAGAGACCAACUAAGUUUGUUAUUGGUAUGAGCCUUCGUGUGAAGAAGUGUGCAUGCACACAAAAGCUCAUACCAAUAACAAACUUAGCUGGUCUCUAAGGUGCUACUGGAAG